Long non-coding RNA from Meriones unguiculatus (Mongolian gerbil), 2080 nucleotides. RefSeq lists it as uncharacterized. The record is from RefSeq and is a predicted model, not a curated record. The transcript has 5 exons. NCBI's taxonomy places the organism in Eukaryota, Metazoa, Chordata, Mammalia, Rodentia, Muridae.
UCUGUUGUUUAGUCUGCUCAGCAUCCUUUCCCCUUCUGCUAAAAAAAAAAACCCCGUUGCUUUCAGGAACUGCCUCUCCCUGUCAUGGUGGCCUGUGGGUCACAAGACCCAUGUCACCUCCGCUUCAAGUCCCCGACCGGUUGUACCCUGUGUUAGCCACACAAAUUGGGACCAGGACACCAGGAGAUCAAGGAAAUUCUGACUUGAUGAAUCGAGGAGCAGUUCAGUGCAGAGAAACGGUUCAGGUUGGCUCCUGCCACCAGAAGCCGGAAAUCUCACAGGGAGCCGCUGGUAUGGCUCAUUGGUUUUCAAGAGCACUUGGGCUGUGAUAUGGAGGUGUAAGUAUUUAGCCCGCGUGUAUAUAUGUGUGCCUGCUGCUUGUGGAAAGAAGCCACUGGAUCCCCUGGAACUGGAGCUAGAGAUGGUUCCUGAAGUCACUGUAACUGUAGUUACCUUACAAGAUUAGGCCCCUUGCCAUUUCACCAUGCGUGGGCUCACAAGGCCCCACUCUUCACUGAGGGACUAUGGGUAAUUAAUGGAUGCUGGGAAAGGGGUGCCAAUUUCUUUUGGUGGUGUAGCCAUAGCUAAGUUUCCCAUGUUCUGGUAAAUAACCCUCACCCUUAUACUUAUGUAAGCAACUCUAACUAAAUUUGGCAGGUCUCACACACACACACACACACACACACACACACACACACGGAAAGACUUCAAAGCAGGAGGAGACUGGCUGGGCAGAAGGGGUUCAGUGUGACAGGGAAGGGAAUGAGCGAUGGCCCUGCAUGCUCCAAGAAAGCCGAGAAAACCACGGAGGGGAAUGAGAGGGGUGGGGUGGUGUAGGGGAUGGUCAAAAUUCAGUGUUUUCGCGUAUGAAAUCGUCAAAGAACAGUUUUAAAAGAUCAUCCAGGAAAUAAAUAAAACUCUUGAAAUGAAAAACAGAAGUAGACAGGUGGUGGUGUGCACGUCUUUAGUCCCAGCACUCAGGGAGGCAGGGGCAGGCGGAUCUCUGUGAGUUCGAGGCCAGCCAGGCCUACACAGAGAAACCCUCCCUCAUAAAACCAACCAACCAAGCAAACAAACAAAACUAUAGGAAUCCAAAAGUCUGGAACAAAUGUCCACACUCGUCUUGGGUUUCUGUUGUUGUGAUACAGAACAUGGCCCACAUCAGCUUGAGGAGGAAAGGGUUUAUUUCAUCUUAUGCCUCCAGGUUCCACAUCGUCCCCGAGGGAAGUCAGGACAGGCACUUAAGGCAGGAACUGAAGAAGAGGCCAUGGAGGGAUGAUGCUUACUGGCUUGGUCCUCAUGGCUUGCUCCCCAUCCUCCUCUGACCUUCAUGUACACGCAAUGGUCCCACACUAAAUAAGGAAAUGGCAAAUGUGGUAAACAUGCAGUGUUUGCUUGUCUGCGCUUGGUUUGUCUUGUCAAGCAUAAUGAUUCCCAGUUCCACCCACUUUCCUGCAAAUGUCGUGAUAUUGUUUUUUCUUCUGGCUGAAUAGAAUUCCACUGUAUAUAAUUACACCACGUUUUCUUCAUCCUCACGAGGUAAUGGACACCUAAGCUGGCUCCCCUAUUGCCUUAUGUGAACUGUGCACCAGUAAAAUACGGAUGUGCAAGCGUCUCUGUGAUGAGCUGAUUGAGGACUCCUCUAGGAAAAAAAUACCCGGGAGGGGAGAGUUGGGUCAUGUGGCACCACGGACUGAAUUGAACCCAGGGCCACACAGUUGCUGGGAAGCACUCUCUUAUUUCAGAGCUACAGCGGCCACUCUGCUUUUACUUUACAAAAAUCAAAUAAAGUGUGCACAUACAAGUGUGUACACCUGUAUGUGUGUGCGUGUGUAUGUGUGCUUGCAUGUACUCAAGCCUGUGAAUGGGUGUUACAGGCACAUGUGUCAUGCUUAGCAAUUUUUUGUGAAUGUUGGGGAUUAGAACUCAGGUCCCCACUUUUGCACUGCAAAUAAGAGUACUUACUCACUGAGCCACCUCUCCAGCCCCCUGCUUUUAAAUCUUGGAACAGUGUCUAAGUUGCCCAGCCAGCCUUGAACCCACUCUGUUAAAAGAUCAAGCCUUGAACUCUUAACCUCCC